CAACUUUCAACAAUGGAUCUCUUGGUUCUGGCAUCGAUGAAGAACGCAGCGAAAUGCGAUAAGUAGUGUGAAUUGCAGAAUUCAGUGAAUCAUCGAAUCUUUGAACGCACAUUGCGCCCCUCGGUAUUCCGUGGGGCAUGCCUGUUCGAGCGUCAUUU
RNAcentral lists this ribosomal RNA (158 nucleotides) under Pleosporales sp. r011. RNAcentral's name for it is "5.8S ribosomal RNA". It matches the Rfam family "5.8S ribosomal RNA". Rfam says of the family: 5.8S ribosomal RNA (5.8S rRNA) is a component of the large subunit of the eukaryotic ribosome. The record is from RNAcentral. RNAcentral also lists the same sequence under 18 other names. Lineage: Eukaryota; Fungi; Ascomycota; Dothideomycetes; Pleosporales.